GCGGCGGUAACGCCGGCAAUCCCGCCGAAAAACUCUUCAUCAUUUGAGCCUCGUCAUUCUCUCCAUCGUCGAAAUUGAGAGCGUAGCUCAACGGAUCGUAACUGAAAUCCACCGAGUUCCGGUGCCUUUUCCGCAUACGAGCCAUCAGGUUCCGGCACUUCUCCUUAAUCACCGGUAACUCACGCGCCGUCGAUCUCAGCCACGCGGACGACCGUCCUACCAACCGCCUCUUCGAUAACGAUCCGGCUAAUUCCAGCCCCCGGAAACAGCAACAAAGACACAUGGAAAACUUAAUCCUAUGAUUCGGCGAUUGCGCCGGAGUAUCACCAUAAGACUCCAUAUUGAAAAGAGUGAGAGAAAAAGAGUGUUUGAGUAGUGAGAAAAAAGUGGAUAUGAUUGAUGAGACAAUGAGGUGGAGUUGUUUUGGAUAUAUAUUUAUAGGUUGAUGGAAAAGAGCAGAAAGCAAGGGGAACAUAAUGGAUAAGGACGAGAGCGUAAGAUGAUGCGGCUCCCCUUGCUGGAAAAGGCCAGAUAAACCGCGGGCCGGGCGCGUUGUGGUUUUUUCUGAUUCCGCGUUCGCGGGAUUUUAUUCCAAUUAUGAAUGAACUUCUAUCACAUUUUAUUCACUUUAUUUUCGGGUUUUAUUAAUUAUGGGUUUCUAAUUUAUUUCCAUUACUCGCUCAAAAUUUUGACAAACACAUAGGUAAGACAUGAGAAUUAAUUAUAUGAACGGAAAAAAGGCAUGUGACAUUAAUGAUUUCAAAUUAAAUAGUGUCAUAUGCCAUUAAUAUGAAACUUGACCAUAUCAAAAUUUUAAUUAGGAAUGAUACCUCGCCUACUUUUAAUGAGAAGGUUUGAGAUAAAAAUAAAUGAGUUCAAAGUGGGUUUAAUAAAUUUUUAAACCCACCCAUCAGCAAGAUUCAACCACCUUCUACUCGUUGAUGACCCAAUCCUUCAUUAAUCCUGCAAAAUCGAGUAGAAAAACAAACACGUGCACCAUCCACUUCUCUGCCAAUCCCAUCAUCAAAAUUAAGCGCAUAACUUUGCAUAUCAUAACGAAACUCCACCACCCUCUUCUUCUUUCUCAUUCCAUCUUCCAUAACCCUGCAUUUCAUUUUCUUUAACUUCUUCCCUAUCUUCGCCAAGCAAUUUUCUCUUGAUGACUUCUGCCUCUCCAACAAAACUACGUACGAGCCGCCACUUUUUCCCCGCAGCCUAAGCCAAGAAAGACUCUGAAAACAGCCACAAGCAUUGGCGUCCAUGGCCCUCUCAUCGUCUUCAACGCUUUUUAUACCUUCUAAUUCUGAAGAUGUAGCCGCAGAGACUGGUUUUUCAUGUGGGAUGGCCAUGAGGAUGAGGAUGAGAAUGAGAGAGCGAGGGAGAGAGGGCGAGAGGCUUUGUUACAAAGAAACUCAAAGCUACGGUGAACACUAAAAUAAGGGUAUUUGGGGAAUAUAAAUAUUCUUGGUGAGUUGGUAUGUUACUGGAAUCGGAUUUGGAAUGCUCACGUGACAUGCGAAUUUGGACGGCGAAUCAGAAAGCCUAAUUUGAUUGGGCCGCGUGGAGAGAAUGAGUUCGGGUUGUGUUUUCUGGUGGCGCCUGCGUCUUUUGCUAUUGGUCUGUCAUUAAGAUAUCUUUACGGGUUGAUGAGAUUUCGUUUGCCGGCCCAAUCGCAGCUGUACGACAGUUGAACCUCAAACAGCUGCUUGGUCCUGGGCCUUGCUUGGUAUGCACUUACUCAUAAUGUUGUACUUGUCCUCACGUAUUUUUUUAAUUUUUAUUUAUUUAUUUAUUACUUAUUUUUAAAAUGUUUAUUUAUUUAUUUAUUUGUUAAAGAUGAUACAUUCUGCUAAGAAAAAUUUAAUGUAAACAAAAUCCAAUCUAUCGUAGUGGGAAGAGUUAAUCGGAUAAAUGUAAGGAUGGAUUCUUUCUUUAAGAAUGUGGGAUGUUAUUUGUUUGCCCCGUGAGUAAAAACAUCUUCUUUUAUUUGUGUGUUAUAAUAAAAUUUAAAGAACACUUUUAAAAAUUUUAAAAAUUAUUUAUAAUAUUAAAAAAAUGUAUUUUUUUAGGGAUACUGUAGACCCCCUAGAGGUGACAAGUUUUUGCAUUUUGGCUAUUAUUAUUUUAUUCAUCUUGUCGACCCGAGGAUGAGCUGUAUGGAGGGCGGCGAGACAAGACUGGAAAGGAGGACUGAUGUGGGUGGCCUAGGGCAGAGAAAAUGAGAGGCUGCCACGAGAAAAGGAAGAAAAAACAGAGUAAGCUGGGGGGAUUUUCGGAGGAGAGUUUUUUUUGGAGAGAAAAGGAGAGGAAGGAUUUUUUAGGGGACGGAACCAGGGAGAGCUAUCGAAGGGGCUUUUCUUCAGGCGGGUUCCAGAGGAGAUGGACAGGAGAGAAGCGAGCAGGAGGGAUUUUUGAUCAGAGGAGAGAGCUUGCUGGCGGCGAGACCACUUCGACUCCGUUGGGGGAAUCUCUCAGGUUUGACUUUCCGGCACUUAGGUUCUCCAUUUUUACAGUCACACCAUGCCUCUUAUUGAUCUAUGGUUUUUAUUUUUAUUUUUGCUGUUGGUAUGUGGAUGCUUGUUUUGGCCAUCAAAGGUCCCGUUUGUUUGAUUUUUGCUUCACUUGCAUGAGUUACAUAAGGGAUACGCUGCUGUUCAUGUGUUAAAUCCACUCGAAAUUUCCUCCUAGCUCUCAAAUCUUUUCGAUCUUCAUGCAUCCUCUUCUACCACCGUCCUAGUUGUUAUUGUCUUGGAGAAGAUUAUCGUCACCCUUAGAUCUCUCUCCAAACCUCCCUCACCCCCUUCCACGACCCCGGCAUCCUCCACUCUGUCGGCCAGCAUUCCGAGGGUCACCUCCGGCGCGCCCAGGAGGCGGCGACUGCUGCUGCUGCAUGCCGCCAUAGCUGCCCUCCAGUUCGUCGUCGGAUUCAAGCGUCAUUCGGAUGGCGGCAAUUGAGGUGCUGAAACUCCAGCCGGUGCCGGUGAUAUUGGAGGUGCGGAGAUGGAACCUGAGAAGCCCAUGGUUUCUCUUGGAGACCUUUGGGCGGAGAAGUCGUGGGUGGCAGCGCCUGCAUGGGAGAUGCCCGCAAUGGCUAAUGGGCUUGAGGGCUUAGGUGAUUUUGCUGUUGGUUUUGAGCUUGUGAUGAAGCCCAGGCCCAAGCGAAAAGAUAAAAAAAAAUAAUGAAGAAGAGAAGGCCUCACUGAGUUAUUCACCCAUUUUAAAAUUGGCCCAUUUGCUUGCAUCUACUUUAUAUGAAUCACUUUCUUUAAAGCACUAAUUUCUUAAUAAAUUUUCUAACUUCCAAUUCCCCAGCCCAAUUUAUAAAAUUUUAACCUUCAAAUAAUACUUCAAAAUUCCUACAUUUAAAAUUCAAUUCCAAUUUCCGAAAAUUCUCAUACUCACUUUAAUUUAUUUAAUCACUAAUACUUUAUUCAUUUAUUUUAAAACUCCAUUCUUAAUCUAUUUAUUUAAAAUUUCUGUUUGCCGAAUUAAAUUCCGAAAAUUCCCAUUCUCACUUUAAUUUAUUUAAUCACUAAUACUUUAUUCAUUUAUUUUUAAAACUCCAUUCUUAAUCUAUUCUUUAAAAUUUCCAUUUACCGAAUUAAAUUCCGAAAAUUCCUAUACUCACUUCAAUUUAUUUAAUCACUAAUACUUUAUUCAUUUAUUUUAAAACUCCAUUCUUAAUCUAUUUAUUUAAAAUUUCUGUUUGCCGAAUUAAAUUCCGAAAAUUCCCAUUCUCACUUUAAUUUAUUUAAUCACUAAUAUUUUAUUCAUUUAUUUUUAAAACUCCAUUCUUAAUCUAUUCUUUAAAAUUUCCAUUUACCGAAUUAAAUUCUGAAAAUUCCUAUACUCACUUCAAUUUAUUUAAUCACUAAUACUUUAUUCAUUUAUUUUAAAACUCCAUUCUUAAUCUAUUCUUUAAAAUUUCCGUUUACCGAAUUAAAUUUCUAUUUUUGAAAAUUCCAAUAUUCACAUUAAUCUAUUUAAUUAUUAUUGUUUUAUUUAUUGAUUCUAAAAUUCUAUUCUAAACAAUUCAUUUAAAACUUUCGAUCUCCGAAUUAAAUUUCUAUUUCUGAAAAUUUCAAUAUUCAUAUUAAUUUAUUUAAUUAUUAUUAUUUUAUUUAUUUAUUCUAAGAUUUCAUUUUAAAUCAUUCAUUAAAAUUUCCAACUUCCGAUUUUAAUAAUUCCAAAAACUCCAAUAUUCACAUUAAUCUAUUUAAUUAUUAUUAUUUUAUUUAUUUAUUCUAAAAUUCUAUUUUAAACAAUUCAUUUAAAACUUUCGAUCUCUAAAUUAAAUUUCUAUUUCUGAAAAUUUCACUAUUCACAUUAAUUUAUUUAAUUAUUAUUAUGUUAUUUAUUUAUUCUAAAAUUCAAUUUUAAACAAUUCAUUAAAAUUUCCGACUUUCGAUUUUAAUUUCUAAUUCCAAAAACUCCAAUAUUCACAUUAAUCUAUUUAAUUAUUAUUAUUUUAUUUAUUUAUUCUAAAAUUUUAUUUUAAACAAUUCAUUUAAAACUUUCGACUUCCGAAUUAAAUUUCUAUUUCUGAAAAUUUCAAUAUUCACAUUAAUUCAUUUAAUUAUUAUUAUGUUAUUUAUUUAUUCUAAAGUUCCGUUUUAAACAACUCAUUGAAAUUUUCGACUUUUGAUUUAAUUUCUAAUUCCAAAAUUCCAAUACUCACAUUAAUCUAUUUAAUUAUUAUUAUUUUAGUUAUUUAUUUCGAAAUUCCAUUUUAAACAAUUCUUCAAAAUUCAAAAUUCGGAACUUAAUUUCCAAUUUCCAAAAUUCUAAUUUCUUUUAAAUUUAAUAUCUAAAAUUCCAAUUCUUAAAUUUAAUUCUCAAGACUCCAAUCUUCAAAUAAUUUUCGAGACUCCGAUUUCCAAAUAAAUAUCCAAAAUACUCCAAUAGUUUUAAUUCCAUUUCAGUUCUUAAAUAAUCUUCUGAUCUUCUUGAUUUUACAUAAGCAAUAAUGAAUUCUUCAUAAUUCUAAAACACGGAAUUUUUUAGACUAGUUCAUGAACAAUAAAUUGGGCAUAUGAUUGAUCCCUAUUGAUUGUCAACUGUUGUGCUUGAUAUAUUUUGCUCGAUCUUCAUUUUGCGCUCCGAUAUGCAUGAGCUAUAAUUCGUAUUCGUUAAUUGUGUACUAAUCCCGUUUCUUGAUAGCGCAUUGUGGCUUGUGGCUCAGGUACGCAUAGAUUUUCAUUUUGAUCAUUCUCUAUGCAUGUUGGAUUUUCAUAUGUGCAUGAUUUGACUUAGGCAUCCAUUGACUUUCUUAUUGAUUGCCACGUCGGUUUCAUUUUAUUAGUAGAGACCCGUCUUUAGGGACUUAGAGGGGUGCUACGGUUUUUACCGUACCUUCCUGAUAAGUAACCUGACCCCCGAACCCGAUCCGGUUUUUCACAGACCACAUUUUUCAAAGUAAGGAGUCACACUUAGGGUUUUUCUUUCUUAUUUUGUUUACCCUUUAAAAAUAAAACAAAAAUAAGUGGCGACUCCAAGUCAGUUUUUAAUUAAUAAAAGUCAUGUUUUUUAAAUUAAAAUCAAGCUCACCAUCGAGUGGGAAACACAUUGAGCCGAAAUGCGGGGUCCACAGAUACACUUGAUAAUUAAUUUUUUUUAAAUUUUUUAAAGAAUAUUUAAUUUUUUUUAAAAAUAAAUCAUACUUGAAAUAACCUAAUCUUUCUUUUGAGAUUAAAUGUGAAAAAUAUACCCAAAAUUAAUAACAUAAUAUAACCAGUUCAGAUUAUUAUGGAUUUUUUAAAUGAGAAAUUUUGAAUAAUGAUCACUUGAAACCGUUUCAAUCAGUUUUGUCGAUUUGAUUCGAUUAGUUUUAUUGGUUCAAUCCUCAAUGCAAUCAAUUCGAACUGAUUUCAUUCUAUCAGUUUUAUUAAUUGAUGUUUGUUUUCUUUUUCCUGCACACAUCAAAUUUAUUCAUGAAAAUAUUGAGAUAUAUGACCAUAAAAAUUAAAAUUUUAUCUUAAAAUAAUUGGAGAUAAAAAUUAAAAUUAUUUAUAUUAUGAGAAGGUAUCUUAAAAUAAUUUAGAAAGUAAGAUGCUAAAAUAUUGAAGUGCGGUAGAUGAUAUUGGUGGAAGUACCUACUUCAACUUCAAUGGCUGAAGAAUCUUUCAGUUCCAAUUGAUGAGUGAUGAUUCCAAAGUCUAUAAUUUCUGAUAACGCCAACAGAAUUAACAUUAAAUUUCCUUUACACGCAUUACUGUUACAGGAUUGAACAUCGCUCAAUUUUCCGAUCCUCAAUCCACAUUUACAACGACGGAAAACAACUCCUAAUUUUCAACCACACGCUACGAUCUCCGGCAUUGCCACAGUCGGAUGCACCGCGCACUUCCCCUGCGGCGGUAACGCCGGCAAUCUCGCCGAAAAACUCUUCAUCAUUUGAGCCUCGUCAUUCUCUCCAUCGUCGAAAUUUAGAGCGUAGCUCAACGGAUCGUAACUGAAAUUCACCGAGUUCCGGUGCCUUUUCCGCAUACGAGCCAUCAGGUUCCGGCACUUCUCCUUAAUCACCGGUAACUCACGCGCCGUCGAUCUCAGCCACGCGGACGACCGUCCUACCAACCGCCGCUUCGAUAACGAUCCGGCUAAUUCCAGCCCCCGGAAACAGCAACAAAGACACAUGGAAAACUUAAUCCUAUGAUUCGGCGAUUGCGCCGGAGUAUCACCAUAAGACUCCAUAUUGAAAAGAGUGAGAGAAAAAGAGUGUUUGAGUAGUGAGAAAAAAGUGGAUAUGAUUGAUGAGACAAUGAAGUGGAGUUGUUUUGGAUAUAUAUUUAUAGGUUGAUGGAAAAGAGCAGAAAGCAAGGGGAACAUAAUGGAUAAGGACGAGAGCGUAAGAUGAUGCGGCUCCCCUUGCUGGAAAAGCCCAAAUAAACCGCGGGAUGAUGGCAUGCGGCUCCCCUUGCUGGAAAAGGCCAGAUAAACCGCGGGCCGGGCGCGUUGUGGUUUUUUCUGAUUCCGCGUUCGCGGGAUUUUAUUCCAAUUAUUAAAGAACUCCUAUCACAUUUUAUUCACUUUAUUUUCGGGUUUUAUUAAUUAUGGAUUUCUAAUUUAUUUCUAUUACUCGCUCAAAAUUUUGACAAACACAUAGCCAAGACAUGAGAAUUAAUUAUAUGACAAAUGGAAAAAAGGCAUGUGACAUUAAUGAUUUCAAAUUAAAUAAUGUCAUAUGCCAUUAAUAUGAAACUUGACCAUAUCAAAAUUUUAAUUAGGAAGUUCAGAGUGGGUUUAAUAAAUUUUUAAUAUAAAUAAAAUAUUACUUUUUAUAAAAAGAAAUUAUAAAUAUUUUAUAAAAAAAAAUUAUUUUAAAAUUAAAUUUAUUUUUAAUAAAAUUUAAAAUUCUUAAAAUUUUAAAAAAUAAAAUUAAAUGAGAUAGGAUGAGUAUAAGAAUUUUGUUUCACACACAAUUUGGGUCUCAAGUUUUUGCAUAUGUGUGGCACCUAGACACACUCUAGGCUAGCCUUUCUCCAAGCCACAAGAUGUGUUGUAUUUUAUUGAUCACCAACAAAAUACAAAAGAAUACAAAAGGUUAUUUGGCAAGGACUCUCACAAUAAGCAUCAAGUAGUUCACUUGUUUUUUUGAAGGCAGUUGUACCAAGUGAACUAGUGUUUGAGUCCUAGUCUGACCCAAACUCAAACUCAACGGAUUCCACAUUGAGUAGGACUUCGAGUCUUACUCUAUCCCAACUUCUCGUGCCACAAGUCUCUAUCUCCUUGUGCAUGAAGACUUAGUUUCCCAUCCUGAUUGGGAGUCUUUGUGUGUCAAAGUUCUUCUCCUCCUCAGUUCCCUAGUUUGACUAAGAGUCUCAUGCGAUAAGAGUCUUACUUAUGCAAUGCAUUAGCACACUACACCUUGCUUAGGCUCAUAUUGAUGCUAAGACAUAUCUUACAUGACUCGUGUGUUGCUGUUUUCAUGCAUGUUGGGCUCACACAUCAACUCUAUUCAAAGAUCCUCAUGACAUUUUCAAAUCUUAUGAUAAAUUCUAAAGGAUUGGGAAGUUGACAAAGAAACACAUGAUGCUACUUAACCCUACAUUGGUAGUUAAAUUGUUUGAUGUAUGGAGAAUUGAUUUCAUUGGAUCAAUUUCAUCAUCUUUUAGAUAUUCUUAUAUUUUGGUACGAGUGUGCUAUGUGUCAAAAUAGUUGGAAGCAAUAAAUUAUAAGCAUAAUGAUCACAAGGUGGUGGUAAAUUUUUUCAAGAAGAAUAUAUUUACAAGGUUUAGAGUGCCAAAAGUUAUUAUUAUGGAGUGAUGGAGGUAGUCACUUUUGCAACUAGUCAUUCAACAACCUUCUUGCUAAAUAUGGAGUGAAGUACAAAGUAACCACAUGUUAUCAUCCAUAGACAAACGAGCAAGUGGAGCUCGCGAACCAUGAAAUCAAGAGCAUCCUGAUAAAAGUAGUGAAUGCAAUCACAAGGAUUAGGUUAUGAGACUUUGGGUUUAUCGAACUACCUUUAAGACAAUUCUUUGGAUGUCACCAUAUAGGCUAGUUUUUGGUAAAACAUGUCAUUUACCUAUUGAAUUGGAAUAUAAAGCAUGGUGGACUAUCAAGAAAUUGAAUUUUAACGUUCAAAAAGCAGGAUUGAGGACAUUUCUAAACUUGAACAAGAUAGAAGAAUUAAGAAAUGAAGCUUACAUGAAUUCAAAAUUUUCUAAAGGACAAACUCAAAAGACAACAUAAUCAAAUUGUCCUUAGAAAGCAGCUUCAAGAAGGACAAAAAGUGCUCCUAUAUGAUUCCAAACUACAUAUAUUUCCAAAAAAGCUCAAAUCUCAAUGAAAUGACCUAUAUUUGGUUCAUAAGGUGCUUUCAAAUGGGGUUAUUAAAAUUUGUCAAUCCAAAAAGUGGAAUUGCCUUUAAGAUCAAUGAACAUCAACUCAAGGAGGAACUUUUCCUCCUUGAUCCUUCCAUGACUUAGUAUAAUUUUUUUAGAGGGGUUAGUCAUUUUAAAAUGACUAAUUAUCCCAAUUCUUCUAUUUUUUUUUUCAAUUUCUUUACACUUCAUUCCAUUUGUUUCAAUUUUUCUUUCUUUUUCUAAGCGCAUAUAUCUUUUUUUUUUUGGUGAUCUUGUAACACUCCAUAAAUCAAAGGAAGAAGGAAUUUCCAAGGGUCUAAAAGCUCGAAAGAUGACAAUUUGGAGAGGACCUAGUGCAAUAAGAGUACCCUUUGAAGAUUUCACAUGACUAUGCAAAAUCACCAAUUCUACGUGAAGUUAAAUGAAUUUUUUUAAAGCUUUGAAUGCCAAAAUCUCAUACCUUUGGUAUGUUUUGCAGGCCCAUACGAAAUUAGAAGAUGCUAUGUGAAAACAAAGUUUUAGAGAUAUAUUUGAAAGUGAAAAUAUUCAUCUCUCAAGUCUACUUUGCAUCCUUAUGUGAAAUUGAUAAAAGUUAUGCAAAAUUGAUAAAAAUUGUGCAAAAAUUGAAUAUUCAAGUCCUCUUGGAAAAACAAAAUAUGAUGGCUCAGAUUUGUUUUGCAUGGCCAUGCGAAAAGAUGAAAUACUAAAGCAAAGUGUCAUGCAUUUGUGAGUUCAUGGAAAUUCGACAACCUCAUUAUGCAUGUAGUAAUCAGCAUGCCAUGAACAAUGGAACUAUUCUCAAGAGGUGGAGUUUGUCAUUUAGUGCCAUAUAAAAUUCAAGGAAAUAUGGUAGUGCUUAUAUUAAAAUCAACAACCUUGUGAAAGAUUGAAAAAUUCAGCAACUAUAUGAGUUCGGUUUUCAUAUUUUUAAGUAGCAAAUUUUGCCAUUUUGUGACCCAUAUAUUGCAGUCACACAUGAAGAUAUGUUCAGAGGUGCAAAUGGCUUGUAUGAAGAAUAAUUCUCAUGCAUUUCAAUGGCUUUUUCAAAGGCUUUUCAAUGUAGACUGCUACAUGUAUUCACUCAGGUUGUGCGAUAUCCUCAAUGGCACCACUUUUGUUGCAAUUAGUAGCUUAAUGUGAAACUUCCACAAGGUUUCCUAAGUCUUUUUCAAAGAUUAAAAAUUGAAAGUAUGAAUUUUUUUUUUCCUGAAAAUAACUCUUCAAUAUACUUUUGAGGAGGUUUGGUCAAAUUUUUUCCCUAAAUGCAAUAUUUGAAAAUUAGGCUAUUAUGGCUAAUUGUUGAAAUUUCUUUGGAAUGUUUUAUUGAUUUAGCUCAAUGGAGUAAUUAAUUCGGUGUUAUUCACUUGGUUAUUUGGUUUAUCAUAUAUUGGAAAUUCAAUUGAAGAUGUGAUAUGCUAAUUCGUUUUGUAAAUCGAAUACUAUUUUAAGUAAUUUUUGAAUAUGAUAGAGCUAGAUUUUUACUUAAUUUCUAAAUGACAUUUAUUUUAAUCUUUUCUAGAAAUAUUCAAAUAUAAAUGAUCAUUUGUUCAUUUAGAAAAUUUCCACCAAUUAUGCUUAUCCAUUUGUUUUAAUUUAUAUUGUCUAAAUUUCAUUUCAAUUUGCUACAGAUGAUAGUAAAAAAAAAAAAAGAAAAAAAAAUACUAUUGAAGAAUAGAAUAAAGAAUAGGUUGUAUACGAUGAAAAAAUUGAGAUUUCAAUGCCUACAGUAACUCCUAUUAAUACAAUGGUUGCCAUUUGAGAAUCUCACUCAAAUUAGCUAAGACCAAAGCCACCAAAAGACAUAUUGUUGCACAAGCUUCAAUUUUAGAAAAAGGAAAAAGGACAUUGGGGCAACCAUAUAAAAUUCCAAUGAAAAGAAAGAACAAAGGAAAAAAGAAAAA
RNAcentral lists this long non-coding RNA (10702 nucleotides) under Vitis vinifera (wine grape). RNAcentral describes it as "long non-coding RNA (VVIN_LNC000974)". Lineage: Eukaryota; Viridiplantae; Streptophyta; Magnoliopsida; Vitales; Vitaceae. The record is from RNAcentral.